RNAcentral lists this ribosomal RNA (1036 nucleotides) under Bacteroides fragilis. RNAcentral's name for it is "bacterial SSU rRNA". It matches the Rfam family "Bacterial small subunit ribosomal RNA", at positions 492 to 1533 of the family's 1533-position model. Lineage: Bacteria; Pseudomonadati; Bacteroidota; Bacteroidia; Bacteroidales; Bacteroidaceae. The record is from RNAcentral.
AUCGGCUAACUCCGUGCCAGCAGCCGCGGUAAUACGGAGGAUCCGAGCGUUAUCCGGAUUUAUUGGGUUUAAAGGGAGCGUAGGUGGACUGGUAAGUCAGUUGUGAAAGUUUGCGGCUCAACCGUAAAAUUGCAGUUGAUACUGUCAGUCUUGAGUACAGUAGAGGUGGGCGGAAUUCGUGGUGUAGCGGUGAAAUGCUUAGAUAUCACGAAGAACUCCGAUUGCGAAGGCAGCUCACUGGACUGCAACUGACACUGAUGCUCGAAAGUGUGGGUAUCAAACAGGAUUAGAUACCCUGGUAGUCCACACAGUAAACGAUGAAUACUCGCUGUUUGCGAUAUACAGUAAGCGGCCAAGCGAAAGCAUUAAGUAUUCCACCUGGGGAGUACGCCGGCAACGGUGAAACUCAAAGGAAUUGACGGGGGCCCGCACAAGCGGAGGAACAUGUGGUUUAAUUCGAUGAUACGCGAGGAACCUUACCCGGGCUUAAAUUGCAGUGGAAUGAUGUGGAAACAUGUCAGUGAGCAAUCACCGCUGUGAAGGUGCUGCAUGGUUGUCGUCAGCUCGUGCCGUGAGGUGUCGGCUUAAGUGCCAUAACGAGCGCAACCCUUAUCUUCAGUUACUAACAGGUCAUGCUGAGGACUCUGGAGAGACUGCCGUCGUAAGAUGUGAGGAAGGUGGGGAUGACGUCAAAUCAGCACGGCCCUUACGUCCGGGGCUACACACGUGUUACAAUGGGGGGUACAGAAGGCAGCUAGCGGGUGACCGUAUGCUAAUCCCAAAAUCCUCUCUCAGUUCGGAUCGAAGUCUGCAACCCGACUUCGUGAAGCUGGAUUCGCUAGUAAUCGCGCAUCAGCCACGGCGCGGUGAAUACGUUCCCGGGCCUUGUACACACCGCCCGUCAAGCCAUGGGAGCCGGGGGUACCUGAAGUACGUAACCGCAAGGAUCGUCCUAGGGUAAAACUGGUGACUGGGGCUAAGUCGUAACAAGGUAGCCGUACCGGAAGGUGCGGCUGGAACACCUCCUUUCUGGAGC